GAAAGCCCAGGCGGCGGGGGAUGGGGUCGCGGCCCAUUAGGUAGUAGGCGGGGUAGAGGCCCACCUAGCCGACGAUGGGUAGCCGGACUGAGAGGUCGACCGGCCACAUUGGGACUGAGAUACGGCCCAGACUCCUACGGGAGGCAGCAGUGGGGAAUUUUGCGCAAUGGGGGAAACCCUGACGCAGCAACGCCGCGUGCGGGACGAAGGCCCUCGGGCUGUAAACCGCUUUCAGCAGGGAAGACAUCGACGGUACCUGCAGAAGAAGCUCCGGCUAACUACGUGCCAGCAGCCGCGGUAAUACGUAGGGGGCGAGCGUUAUCCGGAUUCAUUGGGCGUAAAGCGCGCGUAGGCGGCCGCCUAAGCGGAACCUCUAACCCCGGGGCUCAACCUCGGGCCGGGUUCCGGACUGGGCGGCUCGAGUGCGGUAGAGGAGAGCGGAAUUCCCGGUGUAGCGGUGGAAUGCGCAGAUAUCGGGAAGAACACCGAUGGCGAAGGCAGCUCUCUGGGCCGUCACUGACGCUGAGGCGCGAAAGCUGGGGGAGCGAACAGGAUUAGAUACCCUGGUAGUCCCAGCCGUAAACGAUGGACGCUAGGUGU
This 600-nucleotide ribosomal RNA is filed under the name uncultured bacterium. RNAcentral's name for it is "bacterial SSU rRNA". It matches the Rfam family "Bacterial small subunit ribosomal RNA", at positions 202 to 823 of the family's 1533-position model. The record is from RNAcentral.